This 572-nucleotide long non-coding RNA is filed under the name Equus caballus (horse). Its description in RNAcentral is "lncRNA (ENSECAG00000049115.1)". The record is from RNAcentral. Lineage: Eukaryota; Metazoa; Chordata; Mammalia; Perissodactyla; Equidae.
AAACCACCUUCUUAUCAGCCUAUUUCAACAUGAGCACAGUCUAAACGCUCUGGCCUGGGGGCUGAAAAGGGUCACUCUCUAGGGAAUGGGGGUCUACAACCAUGUACCAGCUACAGCCAGUGCAAGAAGCCUGAGGCCAACUGAGGACCAAGCUCAAGGUACCAGAUGAAGUGUGAAAACCAGAUCCAAAGAUGAAGUCAUGAAAUGAUCAAGGCUCAGAAAGUUAAUCUUCCCAAAUGACGCAGUCAGCAGGUAACCACGGCCAAGUCCCCUCCAUCACACCACCAUCCCCCGGUGGCCGUAAAGGAAUGCUACCAAGAGACUGUCAAGAAAGAAAGAAAGAAAGAAGAAUUUCACCUCUCAUCUCCUUUUCUACAUCAGAAACUACAGAAUUCCUUAACUGUCAACACUACUCAGAUUGACUGUUCCUAUGAUACGAUAUUGACUUUUCUGAUACUGCACAUAAAUAUAAAGGUUCUAGAUUAAACUCAGCUUCCCUAUUUAAAUGAAAAAAGAAAAGAUGAAGUUCAAGAUUCUUCGUGUACUUUCUCUCCUUUAUUGAGUGAUAGCCU